This 506-nucleotide long non-coding RNA is filed under the name Mytilus galloprovincialis (Mediterranean mussel). The record is from RNAcentral. Lineage: Eukaryota; Metazoa; Mollusca; Bivalvia; Mytilida; Mytilidae.
GAAUAAUUGUAAGGUGAACAUGUCUAGCGGACAGAUAUCAUCUUACAUUGACCUCAUUUUCAUGGUUCAGUGGUCAAAGUUAAGUUUUUUGAGUUUUGGUCUUUUUAUCUGAUACUAUACGCCAUAGGUCAACUAUAUUUAGUGUAUGGAAAUAUUUUAUGAUUUAUAUAUUAGUCGUGCAGGCUUUAUUUGACCUUGACCUCAUUUUCACGGUUCAUUGCUCAGUCUUAAGAUUUUGUGUUUUGGUCUAUUUUUCUUAAACUAUAAGUAUUAGGUCAACUAUAUUUGUUUUAUGGAAGCAUUGUUAGCUGUACAUGUCAGCCUGACAUGGUUCAUCUGACCUUGACCUCAUUUUCAUGGUUCAUUGGUCUUUGUUUAGUUAUCUUGGUUAAUGUAACGUUUAUGUGACAGUUGUAAUAAAGCUUUAUACUUAGGACUAUCAACAUAAUAUCAAUGAUUAGUAAAGAAGGCGAGACAUUUCAGUGUGUGCACUCUUGUUAUAAAUU